Molecule: ribosomal RNA, 200 nt
Filed under: uncultured bacterium
Lineage: Bacteria
Description: partial 16S ribosomal RNA
Rfam family: Bacterial small subunit ribosomal RNA
Source: RNAcentral
UACGAAGGGGGCUAGCGUUGCUCGGAAUCACUGGGCGUAAAGGGUGCGUAGGCGGGUUCUUAAGUCAGAGGUGAAAUCCUGGAGCUCAACUCCAGAACUGCCUUUGAUACUGAGAGUCUUGAGUUCGGGAGAGGUGAGUGGAACUGCGAGUGUAGAGGUGAAAUUCGUAGAUAUUCGCAAGAACACCAGUGGCGAAGGCG